Homo sapiens (human) is the source of this 648-nucleotide long non-coding RNA. Ensembl annotates it as long intergenic non-protein coding RNA 2028. The record is from Ensembl. NCBI's taxonomy places the organism in Eukaryota, Metazoa, Chordata, Mammalia, Primates, Hominidae.
GCCUAUGAUCUACAGUGCCCAUUCCAACUCAGAGAAUCUUUACAUCUGGAGAUCUAUAGCAGGGCUAUCCCUAGUGACAUGCGUGAAGAAGCUUGGAAAUGGUGCUGGGUAGGAGCUGAGUGUGCAGAAUGUGGAAAGGCAUUCUAAACCAAAGGAAGAACACGAGUAAAGAUGAUGAAGCAGGGAUAAGGCUAAAAUGAAAUUUGUGAUCUGAUCCACAUACAAGCACAGUGUAGUACAGCUGGAAUAUAGAGAAGAGCUUGAAGACUUAUGAGCAACUAUCCCGGUACUCUUGGAGGCUCUGCAACCACAGUUUGAGAAACUCCGCGUUCAAAGUUAAAAACUGUCACCUGAAUAGUUAAUAACAUCAAAGAUUGUGAAAGCAAGUAUAAAUAACACAGAGAUUAAAAUAAUGAGGCAGGAUCAGAAAUUGCUGACCUCCAUAACAGCAGACAAAAUUGGAAGCAAGAGUGAUUUUGGAGGAGUCACACUUAGAUGUUUCCCUUACCUAUUUCUGUUCUGGAAAUUUAAAAAUCUUACUUCUCGUGACAGUCCUACAUGAAAAAUUAAAAAUCACAAGGAUUCAUGGAUGGAAAACUGAGACUCAGAGAAUGAUCACAUUCACAUCGUAAUAAAUCAGCAAUAGAG